AAAUGUCUUGCCCAAGCGUGGAAAUGAUGAAGGAAGUCGAACCGUCAGCCCUAGCCGCAUGACUGUUGGGCGCGGAUAACGGAGGAAGUGAGCCACUCUCAUUGAUGGCUAGUUUGCAGCAUUUAAUGGGAAAACAGUGGGAUUGGAAAACCCAAAAGCCAACGGGUAAAGAGAAACGCAACACAGAUAUCAAAUUCCAAAAGAAAACUUUAAAGACUCAAAUCAUGGCAAACUUGGGAAAAUCAAAAUGCGAUGAAAUUAAAAACUCAGUCUUCCUCCCUCAAGAGAAAUCCGAACGAGAUCUUCACCAAGGUGCAAGAACUUUCCGCCUCCUCUCAAAAUUCUAUGGCUAUGAAUGGACACCAUAAAGUUAAACAGAAAUCGAAAGCCAACACUAACCGAUUGCGACGGGGUCGACGAUGAUGUGAAGAGCGAUUUUGGAUUCCCCUUCAGAACGUUAGCUAUUCCGACAACUCAACUUCGACUUGUAUGAAUCCUCUGGAGGUGUUCCAAUGAAUCCUUCGUGCUUUCUCUGAGGAAAGAGUAGUGGAGCUUGUUCGUGCGGAGGAUGCUUGGAGAUUUUUGUCCUCAUCCCAGCUUGUGGUCCCUCUUCUCAACUCCUCGUUUUACCCUUUUACUGCUUGUUGAUAUCAUGACCAUGAACCUGAGGGCAGGAGAUCUCAUACCAAAGUUCUCCAUUUUUGUGAGGAGCUUCCGCUUUCCACGGCGCAUAAAUUCUAGUUAUCCGGUCAUGGCUGGAUGAUAUAAUAUAAUCACCGGAUCUACCACACGUUAUAUCAGUCCCCGAUGCAAAAUGAACAUAGGGAACCUUUUGUAAAAACCAGUUGUCAUCACCAACAUUCAAGUGAAAAAGUGAGAAAAUCGCGCCGUGUUGAGUUCUAGCUGAGGUCUGCAAGCGCAAUGUCUCCUUGGCAGCAAGAGCAUUGUAUCCGCUUCUCCGGAUGCUUGAUAAAUACCGAAUGUAUCUUGAAUUGACAGUAAACCAGGGACAUAACUUCCAUAACAAGAUUCCCCGUUACGUUUCAAACCUUGCAGUAACAGCUGGCAGUGGGCAUCCAUUAAAUCAACCCUUAUUUCUAUCUGGCCAACAACACGGAGUAUGCUCUUCUGAGUUCGACGAUCUUUUUCAACUUCAACUUCAGUUGUUAUGUGAAGCAAAGACUGUUUCCCAAAGCCCAAACACAUCAGAGAGAAGUGGACGGUUCGCCACCGGAUUGAGGUAUGCAACAUGGCUCGAUGACGGGUCGAUUUGUGGAUAGCCACGACAUAGAACAAAAAUGAAUUUUGAGUCAUGGCAUUGAUUGGUGAGCUGUUAUACGCGCGACGGUUCGCGUUACCAUACAGACACAAUAAUGCCUCAUUGCAAUAUUGAUUCCUUCUGCAACAAAUACGCUUCUGCAAUUUUACACCUUCGUCUAAAAGUGUCUGGAUCAUUGAAAUUUCCAAAAAAUAACCCUUCAUCAAAAUGGAUCUUAGCAUGUUCCAAAUGUCUAAUGGAUUCCUCUUGUGAAGAAGAAUUCAGAAGCAACUGAAUCUAACAGAGCCUGGAAGCAACAUGGUCCUUUCUAAUUACCUGAAAGUCGUAUAAAUAAUUGAAAUGCUUGUGGGUUUCACAAUAUAGGCAUAUAUGAGCAAGGGCGAUAACAGUAUAUUGGUUGACUGCUGUUGUUAGGGUUGGAUUCUUCAUCAUUGGUGGAGAGAAAGAUAAUAAAAUAUGGUACUCUAAAAUGGAAGGUAAAGCUUACGAGGAAGACGUGUGCGUAUGCGUGAGAACAGGAACAUGGGAAAAGGAAUAGCAGCAGCAACAACAACCAUGCUUUGCUUGAGAUAAGAAUCCUAUGAUUUUCAUUCUGUGUGUCUGCGUGUUUGAAUGAGUCUCAUCUUUUUCUUGAUUAUUCUGCUGUAAAAUGAUCAAUAGUAUUUGGGACUCUUUUGAUGAUUUGCUCUACUAUAGACCUUGCAGUAUUUUUCACUUUAAAUUCAUUAUGUAUUUGUCUAAUAAUAACAUGCUCCAAAGUAGACAUUAAAAGUGUUUUCAAAACAUUUUUUAUGAACUUUAUUAAACAACCAAGAUAUCAACUGCACAAUCAAUACUCCAACAACUCCAAUACUUGAUGAGACCAGUAGUGCUUUGCUUGUUGUUCCUUUAUGUUUCUGUUGUUGACACGGUGAAAUAUUCCCCGCGAGAGCUUCACCGCUGCAGAAAUUGUAACCAUGUGGAUCUUGUUUCUUCUCAUUUGAUUUCUGAUUCUGUGAUUGUAGAACAGUUGGCAAUAACCGAAGCAUUCAGGUCGUUAACAUCAUAACUCUGCACAUCAAGAUUCUCAUGACAUGAUGACUCUAGAGUCCUAACCGAUGUUUCUGUAUUUGAGACACUCCUUGCAAUAUCUAAAUGGUCUUCAACAUUUUCAAUUGAAAUACAAUCCCCGGGAUCUGGAAAUGAUGUCACUAAAUUGUCAUCAGAACUUAAGGUAUAUCCUCCAUAGGGCUAUAUUCUGUGUUUGCGGAAGUUUCUCGAUUUGCAAGACCUACUUCAUGGUGAGAACGGUUUGAAGUUAUAGAGAAAAUGAACCAGCGGUGCUUGGAGGCUUAAUCCUUAAGUCAUGUCCGCAGUCUGCAUCCAAUUUCCGGCCACUCAACUGCCUGUGCAUAUGAAACUCUGUUUGUUUAGUAGAGCUAAAAUCAGUUGAUGAUGGUGCAAAAUAACUGCCAGGUCUCGUAGAGCUUCUUAUACUGUUUAAAAUUGUCUCUUGAAAGAGACAGGUCAUCAUAAGAUAUAGUUGUGGCAGUAAAUGUCCUUGCCCGAACAAUAGGUCCUUUGUUGUUUCUGGACCUUUUCAACAAUACAGAAAUGCCGGUGGCUUCCAUGGGGUCCAUGUCCAUAUCUGGGAGAUCAUUGUAGUGAUCUAACAAUUGAUCCCCAAUUUCAUCAACUCCUGAUUGGUUCAUCUCUAGCCAGUUUGCAGGCUUAUGCUCACCUCCCUCCUUCAGUGAACUUGGAUUUGAACUGUGAUAAAUGCAUGUCUUCUGUACAAAAAGCAAACCAAAUUGUAAUGCAUGCCCAAUGAGAGCUGAAUGCCGACACUUUGCUAGUUCAUUUGCAAGGUAUCCAUGCAUUUCUUAAAAUUCUGAGGGGAAGACUAUGCGGCAUUAGGUGUUCCUACAACAUGUCUUCAUAGGCGCGUUGAGCGAUCCGGUUCCUUGAGUAAGAAGCUCUUGGCUGCAAGUACCGCUGCAUAUUCCAAAUCUCAUGCUCUUCUCUAACGGCAUAACGACAUUAAUGCUCCACAUCUCUUUCAAUGCCCUUGCUUCCAACGUUGUUGCAACCCUUAGAGCUGUGGCAGCUGCGGCGGUUAGAGUAUUGAUAUCACCAUGAGACCUCACAUUUGACAGCAAAACUAACAACAAAAGAAAGUGUUCUUUCUCAGUUCCCAAUGCUUCAGCAGUUGUGCAUAAAAUAUCGUCGACAUUGAAAGCUUCAAAGACUUUUUACUACAAAAGCUAAAGGUUCUUCAAGGCUAAAUUCAAACGACCCAUCACUUAAAACAAAAUGAACGUACAUCCUGGGAUAAUCAUGACACAACAAGCAAAAUGCGAGAACAUUCUCAAGAUCAGCAAGUUGAAGCUUCUUUCCAUUCUUAGUGAAGAAAGCGAGUGAAUGAAUCCAGAAAAAGAAUUUACAUUUCAAAGAAUUUAUGAAUUUUUGCAUACAUUGUAUUGUGUAAUUGAACCAAAAGCACUUAAAUUACAUAUCCAACAGAAACUCAAAAGAGUCAAACAAACACUUCACAAGACGAGUUGAGUGAGAAACUGGAUAAUGGAUGUUGUAAAUGUUCAAGAAGAAAAGCUUCACGAGCCAAUUACUUUCUUUGAUUUGCACUAGGUUCAGUUCCUGUUCAUUUUCCAGCCGGGAUAUUCUAGCAGGUGACUUCCAUAUUAGUAUUAAUGUAUCAAACACAAUACCAUUACUUUGUAACCAGCCAGUCAUUAAUUUGACUGGGUUUUAAUGAGUGUUGGACCUUGUUAAAGUA
Molecule: long non-coding RNA, 4052 nt
Organism: Lathyrus oleraceus (garden pea)
Lineage: Eukaryota; Viridiplantae; Streptophyta; Magnoliopsida; Fabales; Fabaceae
Exons: 11
Source: RefSeq, a predicted model, not a curated record